GAUCAUGGCUCAGGAUGAACGCUGGCGGCGUGCUUAACACAUGCAAGUCGAACGGAGUUAAGAAGGAAGCUUGCUUCAUUUAAACUUAGUGGCGGACGGGUGAGUAACGCGUGAGGAGCCUGCCCUUCAGUGGGGAACAACAACUAGAAAUGGUUGCUAAUACCGCAUAAUGUCGGAGAGCCGCAUGACAUUCCGACCAAAGGAUUUAUUCGCUGAAGGAUGGCCUCGCGUCCGAUUAGAUAGUUGGUGAGGUAACGGCCCACCAAGUCUACGAUCGGUAGCCGAACUGAGAGGUUGAUCGGCCACAUUGGGACUGAGACACGGCCCAGACUCCUACGGGAGGCAGCAGGUGGGGAAUAUUGGGCAAUGGGACCGAAAGCCUGACCCAGCAACGCCGCGUGAAGGAUGACGGUCUUCGGAUUGUAAACUUCUUUAAUUGGGGAAGAACAAAAUGACCUACCCAAAGAAUAAGUCACGGCUAACUACGUGCCAGCCGCGGC
Molecule: ribosomal RNA, 500 nt
Filed under: uncultured bacterium
Lineage: Bacteria
Description: bacterial SSU rRNA
Rfam family: Bacterial small subunit ribosomal RNA
Source: RNAcentral